UACAGAGGUCCCAAGCGUUGUUCGGAUUCACUGGGCGUAAAGGGUGCGUAGGUGGUGAGGUAAGUCGGAUGUGAAAGCUCGGAGCUCAACUCCGAAAUGGCAUUGGAAACUACCUUGCUCGAGGGUUGGAGGGGGGACUGGAAUGCUUGGUGUAGCAGUGAAAUGCGUAGAUAUCAGGCGGAACACCAGUGGCGAAGGCGAGUCCCUGGACAAAUCCUGACACUGAGGCACGAAAGCUAGGGGAGCAAACAGG
RNAcentral lists this ribosomal RNA (253 nucleotides) under uncultured bacterium. RNAcentral describes it as "partial 16S ribosomal RNA". It matches the Rfam family "Bacterial small subunit ribosomal RNA", at positions 524 to 776 of the family's 1533-position model. The record is from RNAcentral.